GUAGGUGGCAAGCGUUGUCCGGAAUUAUUGGGCGUAAAGCGCGCGCAGGUGGUCUUUAAGUCUGAUGUGAAAGACCCCCGGGCUCAACCCGGGGAGGGUCAUUGGAAACUGGGGAACUUGAGUGCAGGAGAGGAAAGUGGAAUUCCACGUGUAGCGGUGAAAUGCGUAGAUAUGUGGAGGAACACCAGUGGCGAAGGCGACUUUCUGGCCUGUAACUGACACUGAGGCGCGAAAGCGUGGGGAGCAAACAGGAUUAGAUACCCUGGUAGUCCACGCCGUAAACGAUGAGUGCUAAGUGUUGGGGGGUUUCCGCCCCUCAGUGCUGCAGCUAACGCAUUAAGCACUCCGCCUGGGGAGUACGGUCGCAAAGACUG
Molecule: ribosomal RNA, 374 nt
Filed under: uncultured organism
Description: partial 16S ribosomal RNA
Rfam family: Bacterial small subunit ribosomal RNA
Source: RNAcentral